GAGCACAUGAUGACAGUACAUAGCCAUGUGCUGCUUGCAUUGUAGAGUAUAAUUUGUCUGCUCGAACAUACAACUGCCUGCUUCACCUUUCAUGUUGGUCUAUUAAAUUGCCCUCACACAGCGUUAUUUGGGGAUCAAAACAAUCCAUUAAUAAUUUCUCAAAUUUCUCAUCUAUCAGUCGUUUUUUUUUUUAAAGGGUUAAUCUUCCUCAAAAUAGGUUUCAAGCUUAUUUUCUUUUAAAGAAUCAAAAGUGACUUUUUAUAACAAGAGAGUAUCUAGGUCUCUUUCUUCCUCGUGCUCUGGGACUGUUUUUUUUUUGUUUGUUUUUUAAAUUUUGAUAUAUUUUUGAGGCAGAGCCCCGUAGAAACCGCCCCUGUCCUGAAGAAAAUUCGACGCGUGGAUCGAGAAUUCCGUGCGCGGUGGCUGAUAAAAAUUGAAACUUUCCGUUCUUCCAGGCGUAUUCUUCUUCGGCCUCUUGGUUCUUUUCAAGAAUGAAGAGAUAAGCUCCUCUCUCUCUCUCUCUCUCUCGUUGGUUGCUCUGUUGCCGUCCCUCUCAAUGGCAGAGAACUGUACAAUUGGCCACUUCGGGAUGAGAUUACGUGAGAAUAUGGAAGAAGUCAUGGGAGCUUGAUGAAUUGGCUGCUUUAUUUCUUCUUUAUUUCCGUUAUUUUGAGGUAAAAGAUGGGUCUUGGCGCUCCCUGUCUUGCUGACUUUUCCGGGCGGUUUCCUGUUAACAUCAUUCCUUUUGAGUGAAAUUUUAUGAAACUUGGAGGAAUUCAUGAAUUUUAUCUGAAUAUUUCUCCUUUUUCGCUUCCACUGACCCAAUUUUUGGCCUCUAAUUCAUUCAAAUUGGCUUCUUUUCUUGAAUUGUGACCCAAAGUUUUGAUUUUUUUUUCUUCGAUCUUGUAUGGUGGAGAUGAUCUCUUCGCCUCUUCGUAGCUUCUUUCGUAUCCGAAGAGAGUUCUGGAAAAGCUGAGGAGCUCGUGAUAUUUGGUUGCGAAGCUCCUUUCUGAUGUUGUAUUCUCCUCGCGGGUCCGUUCGCGAUCCCUUUUUCCCUGGCACGAGCUCCUCAAAAGCUCCCCCCUAUCUGGGCGUCUAAAUUUCCAAGAAAUGGGUCCUUCUUUGCAGUCUAUUGAUGGUGUGGUGGGGGAAAUCAUGAGGAUUCAUCGAUCUCUUCCGCCACGGCCGGGCAUUGACGAAGUCGAGGCGGCGAUGGCCUUGGUCCGCAACGUGGACACGGAGGAGCAGGCCCGCAUUGAUGCCAUAUCGAAGCAGAAGAAGGGAUUCGGGAUCCCCGAGGAGCUCUUCUUUGUGCUUCAGGAGAUGCAGAAGAAUCAGGUUUACUUUCAGGGCAAGGAGCAGAAGAGGGAGGCUUUGAAGUUGCUUGAUCUGGAGAACAUCCACUUGUUGUUCGAUGAAUUGAUUCAGAGGGCCUCCAAGUGCGUUCCUUCCAGCUCAAAUGCGUCGGCUCGAUCGAUUUCUGCAAGCUCAGCGAAAGUUACUGCAGCCAGUUCCAGGACUAGCUUCGACACUAACCCUACUGUUUCAUCUGUUGUUCACUCAGAGAAAGGGGUUGGAAGGAGUUUUGAGGGCGUUAGUAUGGAUGACAGUUACUUGAAGAAAGCAAAGCCCACAAUGUAUGCUGAUGGAUUUGGGAGUGGUGACUCUCAUGCAUCGCGAGGAUUGUUGCUGAAUCCUACAACUAGGCCUCAGGCUACUUCUGGAGAAGAUGGUGAGAAACUGAAUCUUAUUAAACUAGCUAGCUUGAUAGAGGUUGCUGCAAAGAAAGGCAACCGGGAUCUCAACCUUCAAAACAAGCUUAUGGAUCAAGUUGACUGGUUACCUGAUUCGAUAGGGAAGCUUUCUGGUCUGGUCACUCUUGAUCUUUCAGAAAAUCGAAUUAUUCUCCUGCCAGCCACUAUUGGUGCUCUUUCUUCACUAGAAAAGUUGGACCUCCACUCUAAUCAGAUAGCUGAGCUUCCUGACUCUAUUGGAGAUCUUUAUAUCCUGUUAUAUCUGGAUCUGAGGGGGAACCAGUUAAUAUCAUUGCCCUCUACAAUAGGGAAGUUGGCACAUCUUGAGGAACUUGACCUGAGCUCAAACCAGCUCUCCUUGCUCCCAGAUGCAAUUGGAAAUCUUGUACGUUUGAAGAAGUUAAACAUUGAAACAAAUGAUAUUGAAGAACUUCCACAUACUAUUGGUCACUGUGUCUCUCUUGUUGAACUUCGAGCAGAUUAUAAUCGGCUGAAAGGCCUCCCAGAAGCUGUUGGGAGGAUGGAAUCUCUGGAGAUUCUCUCUGUCCGGUACAACAAUAUCAAAGGACUUCCAACCACCAUGGCAUCCCUGUCAAAACUGAAGGAGGUUGAUGUCAGCUUCAAUGAGCUUGAAUCGGUGCCUGAGAGCUUAUGCCUUGCAACUACACUUGUCAAGCUGAAUAUAGGAAAUAAUUUUGCUGAUUUGCAAUCUCUCCCACGCUCCAUUGGCAAUCUUGAAAUGCUAGAAGAGUUGGACAUUAGCAACAAUCAGAUUAGGGUCCUUCCAGACUCUUUUGGGAUGUUGUCACAACUCCGCGUGCUUCAUGCAGAAGAGAACCCUUUGGAGUUGCCACCAAGGCAUAUUGCUGAAAUGGGUGCACAGGCUGUUGUACAAUACAUGGCUGAACAUGUUGCAAAGAAAGAUGGGAAGUUGCAACCAGUAAAAAGUAAGAAGGGUUGGGCUAAGUUUCGCUUUUCCCUCAGGUCACAAAAGAAACAUGAUGGCUUGGUAUAUAUAUCCUGAUUUUGUGAAGCUAUAAGGGAAUACAUCUUUGUGAUGUUGUUAGAAUACAUUAUCAUGACGCAAGUAAUCUUCUCCAGACUAACAUAAAAGAAGUCGUCGAAGAUGUGAAUCUAAUCUUUGCCUUGGGACUUGUGUACAAUUCCUCCUUCAGUCAUAACUAGAUAACUGGUCUUGCUACGGGCAGUUUUAGCUUUCCUAACAAGCAUUACCUUGUUGUAAAAGAGAUUUUUCCAAUUAAAUUACCUGCAAAAAAAGCAUAGCCUUUUUUUUUUUGUGGGACCCGGCAAUUUUAUGAGUGAUUCUUAAGAUUGUGAUUGUUAAUCUAGAUCGUUUCUGGCGGUUGCUGUUACGUGCUUUGUGAUUGUUAGGGGAGCAGGUGUUUCUUGAUAUGGUGUUAUUUUGCCCUUCCAAUAUCUUCACUGAGUUAUUCAUUUGCAUGUUCGUUCUUUAGCAUCCACGGACUACAUGAUGACUUAAUGUGCUGCAUCCCGACAUUAUUGGAGGUAGGCCAUCAAAUUGGUGGUAUGAUUUUGCUCCCUGAACAUAUUUUCUCAUGCUAUGUCAUUUGCCAUGCAGUAAAAUCUUAGAUCUUCCUCUCCUGUUUUGUCAUCAGCUGAAACUUAUUUCUGGUCCCUCUGAAGAAUGUAAUCGAAAAGAUUUGUUGUAUAUGAAAUAUAUCAAGCUCUUCAUGUCCGUGGCUCCAUAUGUUGUAUAUACUUCCUUGUGACCUCUUCAUGGUCCGCAUGACCGUUAUGUUGGACAAUUUAUGAGGGAAGGAUGAAGGGGAAAAUAAUCCAUCCUUACAAGAACUUGACUGACUUCUUCAUGCAUUCAUUACUUUCUUGCAAGAGGCCAGCCUUCUUGUUCUGAAGAUACAAGAUAAAGUUGUGGCCACCCGAUCCAUUGGUAGACACCAACCACUUGUAUUGGUGAUGCCAGUGUCAUAUGAAUUCCUGAGAUCCUGCUGACACUGACUCUCGAGCCUUAACCCAUCAGUUUUGGACCAGCUCUGCCUAAUGAUUUCUUAUCCAAGAUCAGCUUCUCAGCAGAAAAAAGUUGGGAUUAUCUUGUGGAACUCAAAACUUUUUUUCUUUUUUGUUCUUGUUCCACGUAUCGUGAGAAUUCUGCAGACUAGUCGCCGAUAAAUGAUCAGUGGAUGAGUUCAUAUGAAGUGGAACAGAAAGCAUUGGUCUUUCUUUUUAUCAAUUUUUAUUCAUGUGACUGGCAACUAUGGGAGAUGUAGCAAAUGUACCUAUCAUUCAUUAGUGUUUUCUGUUAGGGAAAAAAUGGAUCA
Non-coding RNA from Phoenix dactylifera (date palm), 4072 nucleotides. The record is from RefSeq and is a predicted model, not a curated record. NCBI's taxonomy places the organism in Eukaryota, Viridiplantae, Streptophyta, Magnoliopsida, Arecales, Arecaceae.